AGGGGACGUGGAUAACCUCGGGAAACUGAGGAUAAACCGCGAUAGGUCACUACUUCUGGAAUGGGUAAUGACCCAAACCUAUAUGGCCCCUGGAUUGGACUGCGGCCGAUCAGGCUGUUGGUGAGGUAAUGGCCCACCAAGCCUGUAACCGGUACGGGCUCUGAGAGGAGGAGCCCGGAGAUGGGCACUGAGACAAGGGCCCAGGCCCUAUGGGGCGCAGCAGGCGCGAAACCUCUGCAAUAGGCGAAAGCUUGACAGGGUUACUCUGAGUGAUUUCCGUUAAGGAGAUCUUUUGGCACCUCUAAAAAUGGUGCAGAAUAAGGGGUGGGCAAGUCUGGUGUCAGCCGCCGCGGUAAUACCAGCACCCCGAGUGGUCGGGACGUUUAUUGGGCCUAAAGCAUCCGUAGCCGGUUCUACAAGUCUUCCGUUAAAUCCACCUGCUCAACAGAUGGGCUGCGGAAGAUACUAUGGAGCUAGGAGGCGGGAGAGGCAAGCGGUACUCGAUGGGUAGGGGUAAAAUCCGUUGAUCCAUUGAAGACCACCAGUGGCGAAGGCGGCUUGCCAGAACGCGCUCGACGGUGAGGGAUGAAAGCUGGGGGAGCAAACCGGAUUAGAUACCCGGGUAGUCCCAGCUGUAAACGAUGCAGACUCGGUGAUGAGUUGGCUUUAUGCCAACUCAGUGCCGCAGGGAAGCCGUUAAGUUUGCCGCCUGGGGAGUACGGUCGCAAGACUGAAACUUAAAGGAAUUGGC
This 751-nucleotide ribosomal RNA is filed under the name uncultured crenarchaeote. RNAcentral describes it as "bacterial SSU rRNA". It matches the Rfam family "Archaeal small subunit ribosomal RNA", at positions 115 to 869 of the family's 1478-position model. Lineage: Archaea; Thermoproteati; Thermoproteota. The record is from RNAcentral.